Molecule: ribosomal RNA, 426 nt
Filed under: uncultured bacterium
Lineage: Bacteria
Description: bacterial SSU rRNA
Rfam family: Bacterial small subunit ribosomal RNA
Source: RNAcentral
GGGGAAUAUUGCGCAAUGGGCGAAAGCCUGACGCAGCAACGCCGUGUGAGGGAUGAAGGCUUUCGGGUCGUAAACCUCUGUCAGAAGGGAAGAACGGGUGAUGGUCUAAUAGGCCGUCAUUUUGACGGUACCUUCAGAGGAAGCACCGGCUAACUCCGUGCCAGCAGCCGCGGUAAUACGGAGGGUGCAAGCGUUAUUCGGAAUUACUGGGCGUAAAGCGCACGUAGGCGGCCUUGUAAGUCAGGGGUGAAAUCCCACGGCUCAACCGUGGAACUGCCUUUGAAACUGCAGGGCUUGAAUCCUGGAGAGGGUGGCGGAAUUCCUGGUGUAGGAGUGAAAUCCGUAGAUAUCAGGAGGAACACCGGUGGCGAAGGCGGCCACCUGGACAGGUAUUGACGCUGAGGUGCGAAAGUGUGGGGAGCAAAC